CCGAGGGCUCCGGAGCGGCGACUGGCGAGCCAUGGCGCUGGGGCUGCAGCGCGCAAGGUCGACCACCGAGCUGCGGAAGGAAAAGUCCCGGGAUGCGGCCCGCAGCCGGCGCAGCCAGGAGACCGAGGUGCUGUACCAGCUGGCUCACACGCUGCCCUUCGCCCGCGGCGUCAGCGCCCACCUGGACAAGGCCUCUAUCAUGCGCCUCACCAUCAGUUACCUGCGCAUGCACCGCCUCUGCGCCGCAGGGGAGUGGAACCAGGUGAGAGCAGGGGGAGAACCACUGGAUGCCUGCUACCUGAAGGCCCUGGAGGGCUUCGUCAUGGUGCUCACCGCCGAGGGAGACAUGGCUUACCUGUCGGAGAAUGUCAGCAAACACCUGGGCCUCAGUCAGCUGGAGCUCAUCGGACACAGCAUCUUUGAUUUCAUCCACCCCUGUGACCAAGAGGAGCUUCAGGACGCCCUGACCCCCCAGCAGACCCUGUCCAGGAGGAAGGUGGAGGCCCCUACGGAGCGGUGCUUCUCCUUGCGCAUGAAGAGUACGCUCACCAGCCGCGGGCGCACCCUCAACCUCAAGGCGGCCACCUGGAAGGUGCUGCACUGCUCUGGACAUAUGAGGGCCUACAAGCCCCCUGCACAGACUUCUCCAGCUGGGAGCCCUGACUCAGAGCCCCCGCUGCAGUGCCUGGUGCUCAUCUGCGAAGCCAUCCCCCACCCAGGCAGCCUGGAGCCCCCGCUGGGCCGAGGGGCCUUCCUCAGCCGCCACAGCCUGGACAUGAAGUUCACCUACUGUGACGACAGGAUCGCAGAAGUGGCUGGCUAUAGUCCCGAUGACCUGAUCGGCUGUUCCGCCUACGAGUACAUCCACGCGCUGGACUCCGAUGCGGUCAGCAAGAGCAUCCACACCUGUAUGUAUCCCAUUUCCCCAGGUGUGAAGCCAGCUGCCGCAUGGCCCCCAGCUGACACCAGGACCCCCCAGCUUCCCACACCCAAGGAUGCACUGCCUCCCCACCUCAACACCAGCUCCCUGCUCCCCAAGCCCCAAGGAACUGUCUCCUUCCUUGCCCCCUCAUACCCAGUCCCCAGGUCUUUCUUUUCCCAUUCACCCCCUUGGCGGCCCUGACCCCUCCCGAUCCCCCUCCUCAGUGCUGAGCAAGGGCCAGGCAGUAACAGGGCAGUAUCGCUUCCUGGCCCGGAGCGGUGGCUACCUGUGGACCCAGACCCAGGCCACAGUGGUGUCAGGGGGACGGGGCCCCCAGUCGGAGAGUAUCGUCUGUGUCCAUUUUUUAAUCAGGUAAGCAGGAGGAGGGGUUGGGGUGGCUGUGUGGGCCUGAUCUGCACGUGUGGACAGGUGUAUGUGUGUGUGUGUGCAUAUGAGCAUGCAUGCGUAUCAUGCAUAAGUGUAUGUGAGGGAGUGUGCAUGUGUACACAUAUGAGGAAUGUGUGUCACCAUGUCAAUGCCGGUGUAUGUGUCUGCAUGGACACAGGUAUGUGUAUGGGUGUGUAGACUGUUAAUUUUUUUUUUUUUUUUUUUUUUUUGCAUGAACCUCUGCUUAAGUGGACUGUUAAUUCAAAUUAGAAACGGCUCUUUAUUUGGCCUGGCAUGGUGGCUCAUGCCUGUAAUCCUAGCACUUUGGGAGGCUGAGGUGGGCGGAUUGCCUGAGCUCCGGAGUUCGAAACCAGCCUGGGCAACAUGACAAAAUGCUCUCUCUACCAAUAAUACCAAAAAUUAGCCGGGUGUGGUGACACAUGCCUGUAAUCCCAACCACUCGGGAGGCUGAGGCACGUGAAUCAUUAGACCCCAGGUGGUGGAGGUUGCAGUGAGCCAAGAUUGCGUCAGUGCACUCUGGCCUCGGCGACAGAGUGAGGCUCUGUCUCAAACAAACAAACAAACAAAAGGACCCUAUAUUCUAGUUAAAAUAAGAAGUGUAACAGAAUCAUGGGGUCUUUUUUGCUUUUUAAAAUUUGAUGUGGCUCACGCCU
Molecule: small RNA, 1983 nt
Filed under: Pongo abelii (Sumatran orangutan)
Lineage: Eukaryota; Metazoa; Chordata; Mammalia; Primates; Hominidae
Description: retained intron
Source: RNAcentral